GCCUGGGUGGCUCAGUCAGUUAAGCAUCUGACUUCAGCUCAGGUCAUGAUCUUGCAGUUUGUGGGUUCAAGCCCCACUCUGGGCU
Molecule: transfer RNA, 85 nt
Filed under: Felis catus (domestic cat)
Lineage: Eukaryota; Metazoa; Chordata; Mammalia; Carnivora; Felidae
Also listed under: 3 other names
Rfam family: tRNA
About the family: Transfer RNA (tRNA) molecules are approximately 80 nucleotides in length.
Source: Rfam by way of RNAcentral